RNAcentral lists this long non-coding RNA (903 nucleotides) under Panax ginseng (ginseng). RNAcentral describes it as "long non-coding RNA (PGIN_LNC009366)". The record is from RNAcentral. Lineage: Eukaryota; Viridiplantae; Streptophyta; Magnoliopsida; Apiales; Araliaceae.
AAAUAUAUUAUUUCUCUCUACUGAUACUUCAUUAAAAUUAAAUUCAAAAGUAAAUGAUACUUCAUUAAAAUUAAAUUCGUAUUCAACCAGGAAAGAAAGAAGACGCAAAAACAGAGAAGCAAUCAUCUGUUCUUUGAGGUGCCAUUUUUAUUCUUCGAAGAAUCCCGAUGCACCUUAUAAUUCAUCGGUAAGAGCUCAUCUAUUUAUCAAUAUUUUCUUUUAAAUUUUCCUGCAAAGUCUUCGUUGUCAUGAAUAGAAACCCUAUACAUCCUUUCUACAAUAGUUCUUUAUUCACUCUAUCUAUGAUAUAUGAGAAUUUGGGUUAUUAGCCAUGAGGCAGUUCAAUGGUAGUCGCAGAAUUCGUGGAUUCAUCAGCGAAUUAUGUACCCUGGUCAUAGUUUUCUUGUUUUACAACCGGGGAGAUAUUACGAGGAACCCAGUGCUUAGGCAAUCAAACCUAAUUUCGGGCAGCGGGUUUUGUGGUGGGUCAAAUCAUAGGUCAGUAAUUCACCAUCAUCUACAUCCACUAGUACAACCACUACCCAAUUCAUAAUAAGCCGAAUUUUCGCUUACCUGUGCAGCCCAAAAAGACUCAUGGCUAGAGGCGGAGAAUAGAUCUAUAUGACCUAGAACUAUCAUCGAGGCUAGAGAGUAGCAAAGAAUGAUGAUGAUUCAGAUCUAUGACUAGCGCUAGAGAGAGGCGAAGAAGAGAUGGCCAAGAUCUACAAAUGAUUUUGGGUUUAUGGAUAGUUUUGUUUUUGAAAAUUUAAUGUAUAUAGAUGAUUUUGUUUGGUGAUAUUUUAUUUGGGGAGAAGAUGAUGAACAAUGGGUUGUGAUUUAUUUUGAUAUUAUCUUUAAUUUAUUAUAUUAUUGAAUAGAAAUUAUUGGAAUGUUUGGGUCGGG